ACGCUGGCGGUAGGCUUAACACAUGCAAGUCGAGCGGUAACAGACAUUUUGAUUUUGCUUGCAAAAUCUCGUGCUGACGAGCGGCGGACGGGUGAGUAACGCGUAGGAAUCUACCUAGUAGAAGGGGAUAGCCCGAGGAAACUCGGAUUAAUACCGUAUACGUCCUUAGGGAGAAAGAGGGCUGAGCUUGAUGCUCUCGCUAUUAGAUGAGCCUGCGUAAGAUUAGCUUGUUGGUGAGGUAAAGGCUCACCAAGGCUACGAUCUUUAGCUGGUCUGAGAGGACGAUCAGCCACAUUGGGACUGAGACACGGCCCAGACUCCUACGGGAGGCAGCAGUGGGGAAUAUUGGACAAUGGGCGCAAGCCUGAUCCAGCCAUACCGCGUGUGUGAAGAAGGCUUUCGGGUUGUAAAGCACUUUAAGUGAGGAAGAAAAGAUACCAGUUAAUACCUGUUAUCCGUGACAUUACUCACAGAAUAAGGACCGGC
Molecule: ribosomal RNA, 486 nt
Filed under: uncultured Pseudomonadota bacterium
Lineage: Bacteria; Pseudomonadati; Pseudomonadota
Description: bacterial SSU rRNA
Rfam family: Bacterial small subunit ribosomal RNA
Source: RNAcentral